GUUGCGGUCCGGACAGAGCAAAAAAAACAAGGCAUCAGUAUUGUUGAGUAUUAGCUUGUACCUGGUUCGGAGGCUAAAAUUACAGGGCCUACUGGGGGAGGGACCCCUACCGCCUUCCCCAUCCCCGGAACUUGCAGAAGUUGCCCGAGGCCUGCAGCGCGCCCAACUCCCGCCUCCUCUUCCCCAGCUCAGCCUGCCCAGAUUGGACUCUCUCACGCCCACGUCCCUGGGGUCGACGCCCUGGAGCUGCGAGAGCGCUCUUCACCCGGCUCCCAGAGCCAGCCUGGAUUUGAAGAACAGUGAAAAAGAAUAUCCAACGCCCCUUGAACCAGCAUAUGAAGUUACACACAACUGCCUCAAGGACUGCACAGGCGCUCACUGCUACAGGCAGGAGGGGAACAGUAUCCUCAUUUCUGGCCGUCUGCCUCCGCAUCACCUCCUGCGCUGCUUAGAUCCCUGGAGCUGGGUGAGGGGACGGGGGCCUCCAGGUAGGCAGCAUCCUGUCCCCCGCCCCGCCAACAUCACACACACGUACAAGGGAUGAGAAAGCACCAGGCUUGGAUGGCGAAAAUCCAGAGUAACGUGGAGAAGAAUCCCAGGUAACCCUUCUCUGGCUUGCCCUUGAUAUCCCCCGAAGGAUUGCAAUGUGGAAGAGGAGAAAAGAAGGAAAAAGAAGAAAAGGAAAGCUGCCCAACUUGCAACCUCGAGAGCAAGCUUGGAUAAGAUUACUAGAAAAAAAAUUACUAGUAAUCUGAGAAACACACACUGAAACCUAAAUGAAGCAAAGUGUCUUUCUACCUAAUUGGUAAAAAACGGAAUGUUGGGGACACUGAGAGCUGGAGAGCAUGUGGGAAAGGAAAGCCCUGGGGCGUGAUGGUGAGGAGCAGCAGCAUGUCAGUAUCUUCUGAUGUUAAAUAUGUGCAUACAUCAUGCCCCUGAAAUCCAAUUUUUGGGUAUGAGUCCCAGAACACCUUUCACACAGAUAUGAAAGGAAACAUGCUGAUCACUGCAGCACUGUUAGUGUUGCCAAACAGAGGCAAACUGACCAUCCUUCAUUAGGUGAAUGGAUAAAGAAAUGAGGAAGAGGACGUUCUGGGUGGCCAUGCAGCAGCCAGAAGAGCAAACCAGAGCUACGUGUAGCAACACGACGGCCGUAAAUACAUUUUAUGUGAAAAAGUAAGAAACAGAGUAAGAUGUGUAAAACAGUGUCACUUAUGUAAAUUACAAACAGUAAUGUAGUCCCUCAGCAGUUGACUGGAAUAAUAAACAGUGGCACCUCUGUACAGGGCAGUCCUACUCAGCAUGAAAAAGGAGUGGAUCUGAUUCAGGCCACAUCACGGAUGAAUCUCAGAAGCAUCAUGCUAAGCGGAAAAGGACAGAUGCAAAACACUGCCCAUGGUAGGGCUCCAUUUGCAACAAAGUUGAGAACAGGUGAAACUAAUCUAUAGGGGUGGGAAGAUGGGAGCAGGGGUGGUGGAGUUGACUCCAAAGAGGUACAGGGGACUUUCUCUAGGGUGAUGGAAAUGUUUUAUGUCUUGAUUGUGGAAGUGAUGGGAAUGUACACUUUUGUCAAAAUUUAUCAAACUAGACACUUAAAACAGGUACCUUUUUAUUGAAUGAAA
Long non-coding RNA from Manis javanica (Malayan pangolin), 1622 nucleotides. RefSeq lists it as uncharacterized. NCBI's taxonomy places the organism in Eukaryota, Metazoa, Chordata, Mammalia, Pholidota, Manidae. The record is from RefSeq and is a predicted model, not a curated record.